GACGAACGCUGGCGGCGUGCUUAACACAUGCAAGUCGAACGGAAAGGCCCUGCUUGCAGGGUACUCGAGUGGCGAACGGGUGAGUAACACGUGGGUGAUCUGCCCUGCACUUCGGGAUAAGCCUGGGCAACUGGGUCUAAUACCUGAUAGGAGCCAUUUUUAGUGUGAUGGUUGGAAGGUUUGUUCGGUGUAGGAUGAGCUCGCGGCCUAUCAGCUUGUUGGUGGGGUAAUGGCCUACCAAGGCGGCGACGGGUAGCCGGCCUGAGAGGGUGGACGGCCACAUUGGGCCUGAGAUACGGCCCAGACUCCUACGGGAGGCAGCGGUGGGGAAUAUUGCAGAAUGGGGGCAAGCCUGAUGCGACGACGCCGCGUGCGGGAUGACGGCCUUCGGGUUGUAAACACCUUUCGCUGGGGACGAAGCUUUUUGUGACGGUACCUAGAUAAGAAGCACCGGCUAACUACGU
RNAcentral lists this ribosomal RNA (464 nucleotides) under uncultured bacterium. RNAcentral's name for it is "partial 16S ribosomal RNA". It matches the Rfam family "Bacterial small subunit ribosomal RNA", at positions 28 to 506 of the family's 1533-position model. The record is from RNAcentral.